Molecule: long non-coding RNA, 295 nt
Filed under: Nicotiana benthamiana
Lineage: Eukaryota; Viridiplantae; Streptophyta; Magnoliopsida; Solanales; Solanaceae
Description: long non-coding RNA (NBEN_LNC017990)
Source: RNAcentral
CUUUCCUCCAUUGAUAUAUGUCAAUGCACCACCACUUAAAUUCUUCAAUAUUCUUAUAUGUCUACAUAUUUUCACAUUGUACACCUACCUAACCACAAAGACCUUCAUCAACACCCUCCAAAACCACCAUAUCUCCACGGUAAACUGCCCAAAAAAAUUAGAUCUUUAGAUUUUCCCCGUCAAAUAAAAAUUCACCAUUAUAUUUCGAUUCCACCACCUGAAAAUUCACUAGUCCUGAAACGACUGUUACUCAAAAGAGAUUCAACACUACAAUGAUCAUAGAUCUAAAUCAUCU